RNAcentral lists this ribosomal RNA (253 nucleotides) under uncultured bacterium. Its description in RNAcentral is "partial 16S ribosomal RNA". It matches the Rfam family "Bacterial small subunit ribosomal RNA", at positions 524 to 776 of the family's 1533-position model. The record is from RNAcentral.
UACGUAGGGUGCGAGCGUUGUCCGGAAUUAUUGGGCGUAAAGAGCUCGUAGGCGGCUUGUCACGUCGGUUGUGAAAGCCCGGGGCUUAACCCCGGGUCUGCAGUCGAUACGGGCAGGCUAGAGUUCGGUAGGGGAGAUCGGAAUUCCUGGUGUAGCGGUGAAAUGCGCAGAUAUCAGGAGGAACACCGGUGGCGAAGGCGGGUCUCUGGGCAACAACUGACGCUGAGGAGCGAAAGCGUGGGGAGCGAACAGG